RNAcentral lists this long non-coding RNA (711 nucleotides) under Gadus morhua (Atlantic cod). RNAcentral describes it as "lncRNA (ENSGMOG00000024750.1)". The record is from RNAcentral. Lineage: Eukaryota; Metazoa; Chordata; Actinopteri; Gadiformes; Gadidae.
CUCAACGGACGACACUUAGGUUUUGGCUGUGCAAAGCUGCUACAGACAGCAGCAUAUGUGAUGCCCGACUGGAUAUCUCGGCGGGUUAUGGUACGGCGGCUCGGUGUCGUGUGGAUCGUCUAGUCGGCGACCACCGCCCCUGUCGUCUCCGGCCCCCGUCGGGCGCAUUUUCUCCGCGGUGGUGCGCCGCGACCGGCUCUGGGUCGGCUUGGAAGAGUUUGGGGGUGAAGGUGGCCGGAGGCUCGACCGCCUCUGGCUUUACAGCACUCUCUGCUCCGACCUCGUCGCUUCCUGGGGCCGUGGACGCAGUACCUCGCUGUGCCUUCCUCCUCCCACCCGGGGGGGGGACGGGGCCCCCUCGCCCCCGGCGUGACUGUCAACCGGGACGGACUGUCCUCAGUGCGUCUCAACCGCGUCGCGUCGUUCAGGGCGGGGACCGGCUCACGUACUAUUUGGGUCUCCCCAAAUAGUUUUCAUGCAGAUCCAUAUGACAUAUUUCACAAUUUAAGCAAAAAAAUCAAAAAAUUGUUCGUCACCACAUAUGCUGACGAGGAAGCGAAGGGUUUUGCCUUUACUCCGGCAUCUUGACUCCACCUGACAGCACAUUUGGUGAAGUCCUAAAAAUGAUGUUUAAAAAUGGAAAACGACAUCAGGGGUUGUGAGGCUGAGUUACUAACAUCUCCCCAAAGAGUUUUCAUGCAUGAUAUGAUA